Polypterus senegalus (gray bichir) is the source of this 489-nucleotide long non-coding RNA. RefSeq lists it as uncharacterized. The transcript has 4 exons. NCBI's taxonomy places the organism in Eukaryota, Metazoa, Chordata, Cladistia, Polypteriformes, Polypteridae. The record is from RefSeq and is a predicted model, not a curated record.
ACUAAAGACUACGGUAUCUUGCACCAGUCAAAAAGCUGUUUCAGUCUAGUCGGGCUUUAAACUUGCAAGAACUACAAAUCCCAUAAGGUCUUUCACAUAAGUGACAAGCCCAUUGAAAAUCUUGUAUACGCUCUUUCAGUGGUUCACAGCUGUCACCUUCUUUUUGUCUACUUGUCCUGUUGUCUUACAGGCACGUGCACUGUCGCCUUCGGGUGUGAUGUUAUUGUAGUACGACUCAGCCUUGUCCUUUGGAUACAAGGCAGCAACUCACACCUCAAAUACAGUAUGUGACCUGAACCCAUGCAAGGUAGUUCAAGAACAGAAUCCAGGGUUUGGAUAGACGUGACCCCAAGAGUGAGUUUAAGGCCUCUGAAAACCAGAAGAAUAAUGGAGUCUACAGUCAGGAGAAGAGAUAUGAUGAAGGCUGACCUGUUAAGAGAAAAAACAAGUUUUCUGUGGUGGCGAUCUGCACCAUCACCACCUAAUCAA